Molecule: long non-coding RNA, 2387 nt
Filed under: Ananas comosus (pineapple)
Lineage: Eukaryota; Viridiplantae; Streptophyta; Magnoliopsida; Poales; Bromeliaceae
Description: long non-coding RNA (ACOM_LNC035317)
Source: RNAcentral
CCCGUGCCUCCGCCGGUGCAGAGGGCUCUGAAAGAAAAACAUAAAACAGAGGGCGUGAGAACUAUUAAAUAAUAGUUCCAAGUGGGCAAUUACUGACUUCAGUGAAAUGCACCACUAGGCCCAAAACUAAGCAAGCAAGGUAAGUAAGGCAGGUAAGAAUAAUAUGAACAAAUAAAUCACUGAAAUGGAAGCUCAAUAUAGCAUGAUGUCAUUACUUUCAUCAGUAAUAAUCUACCACAUUAUCUCUACUUAGCGUGGAUUUGCAUAAGUAAUAAACUACCACAUGAUCUCUACUUAGCAUGAAUUUGCGUAAGUAAUAAACUACCACAUGAUCUCUACUUAGCAUGAAUUUGCAGAAGAGUAUCCAACAUGUAAAUGCAUAAGUAUGCAACUAACCCAAUGUCCAUAAUGUAAAUAGUAAAGAUGUCAUUGUUUACUAUUCUAGUCAAUGUCCAAAAGGUACAAUAUGUCACCAGUAACUCAAUCCUGUGGAAGCUACCCGUAGGUAGUCCGGCCUGCACCGUGCUAACAAUGGCCCCGUGGGUGAUAGUCAACAUCCACCACUCUUGAAUGACGCUCCCGCCCCCGGCAUAACCAUUUUGGCGCAUCCCGCACGGGCGAGCCAUGUCGUGACUGCUAAUCGUCGCGGAGUGCCGACUUGUAAGGGAAGUCGACCCUCACAAGUAUGCGAAUGAGCAAAUGGGCCAUGCACAGCAAUAAAGUCUCGUCUCAGGUCCCAGUGGUUUCAUCACUGUUCAAUGGAUCUAAAAUCAGGAAUAACAGCACAUUGUCGCAAAAGCGUCCUCUAUGUCAUCGUGUCCUAACACAUGGAACAUACGUAACUGUCCUGCAAUGGCGUAUCUCUAUGUCAUCGCUGGUCUAAAAACACCGGAAAUAAGUAGAUUUCGAUGGCCUAUCAUUAAUGUCUCUAAGUUGCAGUUCAACAAUUUUCCAGUCUUCAAGUGCCCCCUUUAUGCACCUUUUGCUCCAUAUGUCCCAAUAUGAAUAAUUAUGUUAUGAAAAUGCAUAAUUCUACAUCAUUUUCCCAUCGUACGAGACAAAGUACCCCAACUCGCAAAAGAACCACUUUCUCUCAGUGCAUGCUAAAAACCAGAAUGCUCUACAUAUAAGUAAAAAUUUUAUGAUACAUAGGGCCAUGCAUUUUAAGUGUUCUGAAAAUUCACAGUAAAUUCAUUUAACAUGAAGUACUUGAAAUCAAAAUGACGGUUUACGAAGAGCAUAUAGAAUACAGAAGGCCAUUUCCCCCUCCGUUUGUCAUAGAUGUCAACACACCGUCUCCUCGAAAAAACGCCUUAAGCUUUGCCUCCACCACAGAAAUGGUGCCCCCUAGCCUCCCUAGUAUCCUAAAACAUCCAAAAAAGCGCGCUCAACGAAGCAAACGAAACAUCAAUAUGCGAUCAACUACAUUAACUAACUCUCAACACAAGCUAAGACAACAUCACCGAUGCAGAACGGGGUGCUGACUUUCAGAUCUAAGUCNNNNNNNNNNNNNNNNNNNNNNNNNCCUCACAAGUAUGUGCGAAUGAGCACAAUGGCAUGCAAGCGAAUAAGUCCGUCUCAGGUCCCAGUGGUUCAUCACUGUUUCAUCGGAUCUAAAAUCAGGAAUACAGCACAUGUCCCAAAGGCCUGCCUCUAUGUCAUCGUGUCUAACACAUGGAACAUAGUAACUGUCUCAAUGGCGUAUCUCUAUGUCAUCGUGUCUAAAACACGGAAUAUAGUAGAUUUUCGAUGGCCUAUCAUUAUGUCUCUAAGUUGCAGUUCAACAAUUUUCUAGUUCAAGUGCCCCUUUAUGACACUUUUGCUCACUAUGUCCCAAUAUGAAUAAUUAUGUUCAUAAAUGCAUAAUUCUAAUCAUUUUCAUCGUACGAGACAAGUACCCAACUCGCAAAAGAACCACUUCUCUCAUGCAUGCUAAAAACCCAGAAUGCUCUACCAUAUAGAGUGAAAAUUUUAUGAUACAUAGGGCAUGCAUUUUAAGUGUUCUAAAAUUCACAUAAAUCUCAUUUAACAUGAAUAUGAAAUCAAAAUGACGUUACGACAAGCAUAGAAUACAUAGGGGCCAUUUCGCCCCGUUUUCAUGAAGUCAAACCCACCGGUCUCCUCGAAACCCUUCGUUUGCUCCAACGAAGGUGCCCCCUAGCCUCCUAGUAUCCUAAAAGCAUCAAAAAGCGCGGUCAAAGAAGCAAACGAACAUCAAUGCGAUCAAACAUUAACUAACUCAACACAAGGCUAAAAACUCACCGAAUGCGAAGGGUGCUCUUUCGAUCUCCAAACGGGAGUAAGAGCCCUUCCAAUCCAAUCUACACGAAGGUUCUAAACCUAUCAAUUGGGUCCUAAAGCCCACAAAUCACAAAUUCCCAAAUUCC